Non-coding RNA from Emys orbicularis (European pond turtle), 342 nucleotides. The record is from the annotation of a RefSeq genome assembly. Lineage: Eukaryota; Metazoa; Chordata; Testudines; Emydidae.
AUGAGCAGCCUGAAGCCCAAGGACACUGCCCAGUAUCACUGUGCCCGGUCGCAGGGGUUGGUGGAGUCCGGAGGGGCUGUGAAAAAGCCCGGAGACUCUCUCCGCCUCUCCUGCAAAGCCUCCGGGUUCACAUUCAGCAGCUACGAUAUGAAUUGGGUCCGCCAGGCUCCUGGGAAGGGACUGGAGUGGGUGUCAUUCAUCGGCAGCAGAGGGCGAAAUAUCUACUACUUCGACGCAGUCAAAGGACGAUUCACCAUCUCCAGGGACAACUCCAACAACCUGCUGAAUCUGCAAAUUUGCGGCCUGAAGCCCGAGGACACCGCCCAGUAUCACUGCGGGUGA